Molecule: non-coding RNA, 47 nt
Organism: Amborella trichopoda
Lineage: Eukaryota; Viridiplantae; Streptophyta; Magnoliopsida; Amborellales; Amborellaceae
Source: Rfam
UAAAAGGUUUUUUUUAAAACCAAAUGAGACUUAAAAGGUUUUCUUGU